RNAcentral lists this ribosomal RNA (486 nucleotides) under uncultured bacterium. RNAcentral's name for it is "partial 16S ribosomal RNA". It matches the Rfam family "Bacterial small subunit ribosomal RNA", at positions 30 to 507 of the family's 1533-position model. The record is from RNAcentral.
AUUGAACGCUGGCGGCAUGCCUUACACAUGCAACUCGAACGGCAGCACGGGUGCUUGCACCUGGUGGCGAGUGGCGAACGGGUGAGUAAUACAUCGGAACAUGUCCUGUAGUGGGGGAUAGCCCGGCGAAAGCCGGAUUAAUACCGCAUACGAUCUACGGAUGAAAGCGGGGGACCUUCGGGCCUCGCGCUAUAGGGUUGGCCGAUGGCUGAUUAGCUAGUUGGUGGGGUAAAGGCCUACCAAGGCGACGAUCAGUAGCUGGUCUGAGAGGACGACCAGCCACACUGGGACUGAGACACGGCCCAGACUCCUACGGGAGGCAGCAGUGGGGAAUUUUGGACAAUGGGCGAAAGCCUGAUCCAGCAAUGCCGCGUGUGUGAAGAAGGCCUUCGGGUUGUAAAGCACUUUUGUCCGGAAAGAAAUCCUUGGCCCUAAUACGGUCGGGGGAUGACGGUACCGGAAGAAUAAGCACCGGCUAACUACGUG